UCUGGUGUCCCCACCAUACAAUCAGGUGCCACCAUAAGGCCACUCAGUCCCUCCCUAGCACAAUUAAGUCCCUCUUCAAUGGGACUUGGUUCCACCCAUGAUGGAUCCAAGCUACAUUGAGAGGUAUAAGAGACUAAACUUAUCUACCUUUUUAGAGAUAUCCUCCUUCGAAGAGGCCAAAUAUUGAUUAGCAGAGACAGAGAAGGUUUUUGUAACUCUUGGGGUAGUUCCCGAAUAAAAAGUUG
Molecule: long non-coding RNA, 245 nt
Filed under: Carica papaya (papaya)
Lineage: Eukaryota; Viridiplantae; Streptophyta; Magnoliopsida; Brassicales; Caricaceae
Description: long non-coding RNA (CPAP_LNC000807)
Source: RNAcentral